AUACGUAGGUGACGAGCGUUAUCCGGAUUUACUGGGCGUAAAGCGCUUGUAGGUGGCUUUGUAAGUUGGAUGUGAAAACUCUGGGCUUAACCCAGAGAGGCCGUCCAAUACUGCAGGGCUGGAGGAUGUCAGAGGAAGGUGGAAUUCCUGGUGUAGUAGUGAAAUGCGUAGAUAUCAGGAGGAACACCCGUGGCGAAGGCGGCCUUCUGGGGCAUUCCUGACACUGAGAAGCGAAAGCUAGGGGAGCAAACAGGAUUAGAAACCCUGGUAGUCCUAGCUGUAAACGAUGGAUGCUAGGUGUUGGCGGAUUUAACCCUGCCAGUGCCGAAGCUAACGCGUUAAGCAUCCCGCCUGGGAAGUACGAUCGCAAGAUUAAA
RNAcentral lists this ribosomal RNA (377 nucleotides) under uncultured bacterium. RNAcentral's name for it is "bacterial SSU rRNA". It matches the Rfam family "Bacterial small subunit ribosomal RNA", at positions 523 to 898 of the family's 1533-position model. The record is from RNAcentral.